GAUCCUGGCUCAGGAUGAACGCUGGCGGCGUGCCUAACACAUGCAAGUCGAACGGAGUUCUUAAGGAAUGCGACUUCGGUCAAAUGACUUUUGAACUUAGUGGCGGACGGGUGAGUAACGCGUGAGCAACCUGCCUUUCAGAGGGGGGAUAACAUUUGGAAACAGAUGCUAAUACCGCAUAAGAUUACAGUACCGCAUGAUACAGUGAUCAAAGGAGCAAUCCGCUGAAAGAUGGG
This 236-nucleotide ribosomal RNA is filed under the name uncultured bacterium. Its description in RNAcentral is "partial 16S ribosomal RNA". It matches the Rfam family "Bacterial small subunit ribosomal RNA", at positions 15 to 229 of the family's 1533-position model. The record is from RNAcentral.